RNAcentral lists this ribosomal RNA (253 nucleotides) under uncultured prokaryote. Its description in RNAcentral is "partial 16S ribosomal RNA". It matches the Rfam family "Bacterial small subunit ribosomal RNA", at positions 525 to 777 of the family's 1533-position model. The record is from RNAcentral.
ACGGAGGGUGCAAACGUUGCUCGGAAUCAUUGGGCGUAAAGCGCACGUAGGCGGUCCGUUAUGUCGGGUGUGAAAGCCCUCGGCUCAACCGAGGAAGUGCAUUCGAAACUGGCGGACUUGAGUACCGGAGAGGGUCGCGGAAUUCCUGGUGUAGCGGUGAAAUGCGCAGAUAUCAGGAGGAACACCGAUGGCGAAGGCAGGUCUCUGGGCAUUAACUGACGCUGAGGAGCGAAAGCAUGGGGAGCGAACAGGA